UGGUGUCCAUAUCACGUUGAAACACCGGCUCCCGUUCGAUAACAACAGUAAAGCAACGUUGUGUUUGGCCAGUACUUAGAUGGAGGAUCACUUGGGAAUAUCAGGUAGUGUA
Non-coding RNA from Acanthosepion pharaonis, 112 nucleotides. NCBI's taxonomy places the organism in Eukaryota, Metazoa, Mollusca, Cephalopoda, Sepiida, Sepiidae. The record is from the annotation of a GenBank genome assembly.